UGUCCGUUGUCCACUCCGCGUGCUCGCGAU
This 30-nucleotide small RNA is filed under the name Bombyx mori (domestic silkworm). RNAcentral describes it as "ovarian small RNA-35690". Lineage: Eukaryota; Metazoa; Arthropoda; Insecta; Lepidoptera; Bombycidae. The record is from RNAcentral.